AGAGUUUGAUCAUGGCUCAGAUUGAACGCUGGCGGCAGGCUUAACACAUGCAAGUCGAGCGGAGAUGAGGUGCUUGCACCUUAUCUUAGCGGCGGACGGGUGAGUAAUGCUUAGGAAUCUGCCUAUUAGUGGGGGACAACAUUCCGAAAGGAAUGCUAAUACCGCAUACGUCCUACGGGAGAAAGCAGGGGAUCUUCGGACCUUGCGCUAAUAGAUGAGCCUAAGUCGGAUUAGCUAGUUGGUGGGGUAAAGGCCUACCAAGGCGACGAUCUGUAGCGGGUCUGAGAGGAUGAUCCGCCACACUGGGACUGAGACACGGCCCAGACUCCUACGGGAGGCAGCAGUGGGGAAUAUUGGACAAUGGGGGGAACCCUGAUCCAGCCAUGCCGCGUGUGUGAAGAAGGCCUUAUGGUUGUAAAGCACUUUAAGCGAGGAGGAGGCUACUGAGACUAAUACUCUUGGAUAGUGGACGUUACUCGCAGAAUAAGCACCGGCUAACUCUGUGCCAGCAGCCGCGGUAAUACAGAGGGUGCGAGCGUUAAUCGGAUUUACUGGGCGUAAAGCGUGCGUAGGCGGCUUUUUAAGUCGGAUGUGAAAUCCCCGAGCUUAACUUGGGAAUUGCAUUCGAUACUGGGAAGCUAGAGUAUGGGAGAGGAUGGUAGAAUUCCAGGUGUAGCGGUGAAAUGCGUAGAGAUCUGGAGGAAUACCGAUGGCGAAGGCAGCCAUCUGGCCUAAUACUGACGCUGAGGUACGAAAGCAUGGGGAGCAAACAGGAUUAGAUACCCUGGUAGUCCAUGCCGUAAACGAUGUCUACUAGCCGUUGGGGCCUUUGAGGCUUUAGUGGCGCAGCUAACGCGAUAAGUAGACCGCCUGGGA
RNAcentral lists this ribosomal RNA (876 nucleotides) under uncultured organism. Its description in RNAcentral is "bacterial SSU rRNA". It matches the Rfam family "Bacterial small subunit ribosomal RNA", at positions 9 to 873 of the family's 1533-position model. The record is from RNAcentral.